CCCGGUGCCGGAAGGUUAAUUGAUGGGGUUAUCUUCGGAGAAGCUCUUGAUCGAAGCCCCGGUAAACGGCGGCCGUAACUAUAACGGUCCUAAGGUAGCGAAAUUCCUUGUCGGGUAAGUUCCGACCUGCACGAAUGGCGUAACGAUGGCCACACUGUCUCCACCCGAGACUCAGUGAAAUUGAAAUCGCUGUGAAGAUGCAGUGUACCCGCGGCUAGACGGAAAGACCCCGUGAACCUUUACUAUAGUUUUGCACUGGACUUUGAUGAUGACUGUGUAGGAUAGGUGGGAGGCUGUGAAGUGAGGACGCUAGUUCUCAUGGAGCCGCCCUUGAAAUACCACCCUGUUGUUAUUGAGGUUCUAACUUGGUCCAGUAAUCCUGGAUGAGGACAGUGUAUGAUGGGUAGUUUGACUGGGGCGGUCUCCUCCCAAAGAGUAACGGAGGAGCACAAAGGUACCCUCGGUACGGUCGGACAUCGUACCAAGAGUGUAAAGGCAAAAGGGUGCUUGACUGCGAGAGUGACGGCUCGAGCAGGAACGAAAGUUGGUCUUAGUGAUCCGGUGGUUCUGAAUGGAAGGGCCAUCGCUCAACGGAUAAAAGGUACUCCGGGGAUAACAGGCUGAUACCGCCCAAGAGUUCAUAUCGACGGCGGUGUUUGGCACCUCGAUGUCGGCUCAUCACAUCCUGGGGCUGAAGCAGGUCCCAAGGGUAUGGCUGUUCGCCAUUUAAAGUGGUACGCGAGCUGGGUUUAGAACGUCGUGAGACAGUUCGGUCCCUAUCUGCCGUGGGCGUAGGAAAAUUGAGAGGAGCUGCUCCUAGUACGAGAGGACCGGAGUGGACGAACCUCUGGUGCACCGGUUGUCACGCCAGUGGCAUGGCCGGGUAGCUAAGUUCGGACGGGAUAACCGCUGAAAGCAUCUAAGCGGGAAGCCUCCCUCAAGAUGAGUUUUCCCAUGAAGCCCGUUGAAGACUACGACGUUGAUAGGCAAGGUGUGGAAGCGCAGUAAUGCGUGAAGCUAACUUGUACUAAUUGGCUGAUUGUCUUGACCAUAUAAUCUGAG
Molecule: ribosomal RNA, 1062 nt
Filed under: Legionella pneumophila
Lineage: Bacteria; Pseudomonadati; Pseudomonadota; Gammaproteobacteria; Legionellales; Legionellaceae
Description: partial 23S ribosomal RNA
Rfam family: Bacterial large subunit ribosomal RNA
Source: RNAcentral